RNAcentral lists this ribosomal RNA (469 nucleotides) under uncultured bacterium. Its description in RNAcentral is "partial 16S ribosomal RNA". It matches the Rfam family "Bacterial small subunit ribosomal RNA", at positions 28 to 507 of the family's 1533-position model. The record is from RNAcentral.
GACGAACGCUGGCGGCGUGCUUAACACAUGCAAGUCGAACGGAAAGGCCCUGCUUGCAGGGUGCUAGAGUGGCGAACGGGUGAGUAACACGUGGGUGCACUGCCACUUACUUUUGGAUAAGCCUGGGCAACUGGGUCUAAUACUGGAUAGCACCAUGCUGCUGGUGGUGUGGUGGAAAGAUUAGUUUCGGUAAGGGAUGAGCUCGCGGCCUGUCAGCUUGUUGGUGGGGUAAUGGCCUACCCCGGCGUCGACGGGUAGCCGGCCAGAGUGGGUGGGCGGCCACAUUGAGACUGCGACGCGGGGCAGAAGCCUGGGGGAGUGAGCAAUGGGGACAAGUGUACAACGGGCGUAAGGCGGAUGCGGCGACGCCGCUUGGGUGAUGACGGCCUUCGGGUUGUAAACACCUGCCAGCCAUGAAGAAGCCGUUGUGGUGACGGUAGUGGAAGAAGAAGCACCGGCUAACUACGUG